UACGUAGGAUGCAAGCGUUGUCCGGAAUUAUUGGGCGUAAAGAGCUCGUAGGCGGUCUGUCGCGUCGGCUGUGAAAACUCGGGGCUCAACCCCGAGCCUGCAGUCGAUACGGGCAGACUGGAGGUAUGCAGGGGAGAACGGAAUUCCUGGUGUAGCGGUGAAAUGCGCAGAUAUCAGGAGGAACACCGGUGGCGAAGGCGGGUCUCUGGGCCGAUACUGACGCUGAGGAGCGAAAGCGUGGGGAGCGAACAGG
This 253-nucleotide ribosomal RNA is filed under the name uncultured bacterium. RNAcentral's name for it is "partial 16S ribosomal RNA". It matches the Rfam family "Bacterial small subunit ribosomal RNA", at positions 524 to 776 of the family's 1533-position model. The record is from RNAcentral.